CUACAUGUGCCCUUGAUGACUUGGAUUGUCCCAGCAUUGCAAUCGUCAAACCUUCAGAAAUUGACUAUCCAUCAACAAAGCAAACAGGCAAGAAACAUUUUUCCUGGCAAAAACAAAAUAAAAAAUUAAUAAGCACAUAAAGCUAGAAAAAACAUCUGGAACUCUAGGGAACCAAGCUAUAUUCAAGUUUUUCACUAGAGGUUGCGGAGCACAUGACAAAAAGUUGCAGCAGCACAUACAUUUGUCGCGGAAACUUUGAAACAACACUAGCCAGUUAAGAGCGCAUCUUUCAUAACUUCUCUGCACAAAGGACAGUAAAUAAAUUGCGUCAGUUUCACUCUACUAUAUUACUUCUUGGUCUCCUGGUUCAUCAAUGACUAAUAAUCAUGAUUAAAGUUUUCUUCUCAAAAUAAUUUCAUAGGAAAUUUAAAAACAAAUUGGUUGUCUUUGAUUCAGUAAUAUAAUCAAACAACUUGUAUGUGUGUGUUUCGAUAUACCUUAGCAAAACAACAUAAUCUCUACGAAACUAGCAUCAACUAUAAGUAAAGAGAAUAGUUCAUCUCAAUGGAAAUCCAUAUAAUUAUAUCUAUACAUAGAAAGAGAGGAAGAUGAUACCAUUAGACAAGAGAGCUCAAAGAAACCGAGAGAAAUGAGUACGCCAAAUCUGAGCUUCCGUAAGGUUGGAAUCGGUUAAUUUAAUUAAAUACAAGGAUUCAGAAUAGUUCGCUGGAUAAUAAUGUGGAGGGAUGAGCUUCAGAAAGUUGGAGUUUAGAUGAUACUGUAUGGGUUAAUGAAACUCCCAG
This 803-nucleotide long non-coding RNA is filed under the name Daucus carota (carrot). Its description in RNAcentral is "long non-coding RNA (DCAR_LNC001949)". The record is from RNAcentral. Lineage: Eukaryota; Viridiplantae; Streptophyta; Magnoliopsida; Apiales; Apiaceae.